This 370-nucleotide ribosomal RNA is filed under the name uncultured organism. Its description in RNAcentral is "partial 16S ribosomal RNA". It matches the Rfam family "Bacterial small subunit ribosomal RNA", at positions 527 to 896 of the family's 1533-position model. The record is from RNAcentral.
AGAGAGUGCAAGCGUUAAUCGGAAUUACUGGGCGUAAAGCGCGCGUAGGUGGAUAUUUAAGUCGGAUGUGAAAGCCCCAAGCUUAACUUGGGAACUGCAUUCGAUACUGGGUAUCUAGAGUAUGGUAGAGGGAAGUGGAAUUUCCAGUGUAGCGGUGAAAUGCGUAGAUAUUGGAAAGAACACCAGUGGCGAAGGCGGCUUCCUGGACUAAUACUGACACUGAGGUGCGAAAGCGUGGGGAGCGAAACAGGAUUAGAGACCCUGGUAGUCCACGCCGUCAACGAUGAGAACUAGAUGUUGGGGAGUUUACUCUUUAGUAUCGAAGCUAACGCGUUAAGUUCUCCGCCUGGGGAGUACGGCCGCAAGGUUA